Kogia breviceps (pygmy sperm whale) is the source of this 1150-nucleotide non-coding RNA. The record is from RefSeq and is a predicted model, not a curated record. NCBI's taxonomy places the organism in Eukaryota, Metazoa, Chordata, Mammalia, Artiodactyla, Physeteridae.
CCCCUUCCACAGGCUGAUAAAUCCGCCGUCCACCCACCGGGUCAGGUGGCGCUGGCAACAGAGGAGCCCUGAUGGACCUACCCCAUCCCCCCCCAAAGGCCUUUCUUUUGCUUGUCCAAAUCUCACUGUUCAUCACCUUUCUCAUCUUUCUCCUGUUUUCACUGCUGCAGUUUGCCCAACCCUCCCUUCUCCAAACUCCUGGAGAUUAUUGGGGCCAAUCCUCUCUCUUUGGAACUGGAGUAGCUGAGACAGAGAGGCGAGGCUGCUUGCCCUUGGUCACACAGCUGGCUGGGGCUGAGAGUCAGGCCCACAGACUCCCUCACUGGGGUUCUAAACUUCUCAAGGGCGGGGUACAUUUCUUAUCCUCCUUUCCUAAUACAGAGGAAAAUCGUAGUAGGCAUGAGCAAAGGGCAUCACGUGACAGGCACUUUACAUAAUGCAUCAGUUGGAAUUAGGAUUGGCUACACGGGCUGGAAGACCCCCAGUGCUAGAGGUUUGAAUUAGAUAGGAAUUAAUCCUCUUUGAGGUAGGCAAUCCAGGGCUGUGACAGGGACCCAGGCUCCUGCCGUCGUCUGGCUCUGCCUUUCUCAGCACUUGAAUUUCCACCUCUUGAUACAAGAUGACUGCUCAAGCCCCAUGCAUCCCAUCUGCAUUCCAGCCAACAGGAAGCAGGAAGUUUCAGAGAACAAUGGUGCACCUCUUCCCUUUAAGGACUUUUCCUGCAAGAUGCACAUGACACCUUCCCUUCUUCCCACCAGGUAGAAUUUAGCUACAAGGCCAAACCCAGGAGCAGGGGAAGCGGGAGCAUUGGAGCUUCCUCAAAGCUCCCAGGCUCACUCCCACCUCAGGGCCUUUGCAUUCCUGUUCCUCCUGCCUGGGACACUUCCCCAGACAUACCCAACAUUCCAGAAACCCCACAGAACAUUUCAACCGAUGACACUUUACACCCCCUUCCUUUGAAGCUCUGUAGAACUACCACGUUCAGACCGAACAUAUAUUUUACUUUAUCUUGUUUACUGGCUGCGUCUUCUCUAGAACGUCAGCUCCCUGAAGGCAGGGAUUUUGGAUGGUGUCAUUCACUGCUGUGGCCUCAGUACCUGGCACACAGCAGGUGCUCAGAACAUACUUUUUAAGCCAGUGAAUGUUGGGG